CCGGAAGUGCGCUGAACACUCCUUUCUGAGCGAUGUCGUUACAAUGACUUCAUGGUUCAUUUCCUUUAGGGGAAUAUUGAACCGGGUUCUGUUCAGAUUGUACUACUGGUACUUGUUUAUUUAUAAUAUAUAGAUCAACCAUCUAUAGUAAUAUAGAUAGAGAUAAACAAGAGAAAACAGAAGCCGAGUCUAAAGACAGACACGGUUGAACUAGUCCUAUAGCUCAGUUGGUUAGAGCGCUACACUGAUAAUGUAGAGGUCGGCAGUUCAACUCUGCCUGGGACUACUCCGAAACGACUCUUACGGGGGAUUAGCUCAGCUGGCUAGAGCAUCUGCCUUGCACGCAGAGGGUCAACGGUUCGAAUCCGUUAUUCUCCACAUCCCCAGCAAUGGGAAACGAUCUUUGACAUGAUGUACAAAAAGUAAAAUAAAAGUAAAGAGCUAAAAGUAUAUAUCAAACCGUACUCUCUCCGAUAUUUCCCAUUUCAGUAAUGGAUAGUUUUCGGAGCAGUCAGUUUGAAAGAAAGUAAGCAAGGGCGCAUGGCGGAUGCCUUGGCUCUCGGAGGCGAUGAAGGACGUGAUAAGCUGCGAUAAGCUUCGGGUAGGUGCAAAUAACCUUUGAUCCGAAG
RNAcentral lists this unclassified non-coding RNA (629 nucleotides) under Bacteroides caccae. RNAcentral's name for it is "partial 16S-23S ribosomal RNA intergenic spacer". The stretch from base 521 to 629 matches the Rfam family "Bacterial large subunit ribosomal RNA", at positions 1 to 109 of the family's 2925-position model. Lineage: Bacteria; Pseudomonadati; Bacteroidota; Bacteroidia; Bacteroidales; Bacteroidaceae. The record is from RNAcentral.